ACUCCUACGGGAGGCAGCAGUAAGGAAUAUUGGACAAUGGGCGGAAGCCUGAUCCAGCCAUGCCGCGUGCAGGAAGACUGCCCUAUGGGUUGUAAACUGCUUUUGUACGGGAACAAACUGCCCCAUGCGUGGGGUACUGAGGGUACCGUAAGAAUAAGCACCGGCUAACUCCGUGCCAGCAGCCGCGGUAAUACGGAGGGGUGCAAGCGUUAUCCGGAUUCACUGGGUUUAAAGGGUAGCGUAGGCUGUUCGAUAAGUCUGUUGUGAAAGGCGCCGGCUCAACCGGACGGACUGCAAUGGAUACUGUUGGACUUGAAUCAGGUUUAGGUAGGCGGAAUGCGGCAUGUAGCGGUGAAAUGCAUAGAUAUGCCGUAGAACACCGAUUGCGAAGGCAGCUUGCUGGGCCUAGAUUGACGCUGAGGCACGAAAGCGUGGGGAGCGAACAGGAUUAGAUACCCUGGUAGACUGUCA
RNAcentral lists this ribosomal RNA (471 nucleotides) under uncultured bacterium. RNAcentral's name for it is "bacterial SSU rRNA". It matches the Rfam family "Bacterial small subunit ribosomal RNA", at positions 335 to 802 of the family's 1533-position model. The record is from RNAcentral.